AAAAAAGAAAAAAGAAACCACUUUCUUUGCUUGUCCAUAAAAAGCAAUGUUUCAUCUGUUCAAGUUUUAUCAUAUUACAACAGAACUAAUUCUAGUUCUAUUGCUGUCUCUACCAUAUCUGCAGUUACUUCCUCCUCUUAAGUCCCAAACUCUUCAAAGUCAUCCAUGAGGGUUGGAAUCAACUUCUUCCAAACUGUUAAUGGUGACAUUCUGACCUCCUCCCAUGAAUCCUGAAUGGUCUUAACAGCAUCUAAAAUGAUGAUAGAUCCAUGAUGCAUAGUUACAGGAUAUGAGAAUUCACUGUGAAUCCCCCAACCACUGAGGAUGGUAUCACGAUGAGCAACGACCAUGCAGUCCCAUGAAAUGUCCCUCAGCAUCACAACCAGCAGCUCAUCCUGUCCUUUCCCUGCUCCAGCUAUGGAAUCUACCAUAUCUCCAAAGAAUCCUGGAAGAGCCUCUCCUGAGACAAAAUCAUAUAUCAGAAAACUAAUAAGACAGGAAAUUUAAGUACACGUUGAAAGAAAAAGAUACUUUGUUACACGAAGCUGAAGUCAGUGAAACUUGUAACAAGGCAGGCUCAAACAGAGGUACCAACUACAGAUACUGUCUAAUUGUAAAUGAACUACCAAGCAACUGUUAAAGGAAAGAAGUACAGAAUCGUAUGGAUGCCAAAGAUUGCCAGCUAAUAAAAUGUCUUAAUUUGCUUGCUUCUUUAAAAAAUCCA
This 724-nucleotide long non-coding RNA is filed under the name Homo sapiens (human). RNAcentral's name for it is "HSALNT0317155". Lineage: Eukaryota; Metazoa; Chordata; Mammalia; Primates; Hominidae. The record is from RNAcentral.